RNAcentral lists this transfer-messenger RNA (131 nucleotides) under Desulfocapsaceae bacterium. RNAcentral's name for it is "partial transfer-messenger RNA". It matches the Rfam family "transfer-messenger RNA", at positions 1 to 136 of the family's 374-position model. From Rfam's summary of the family: Bacterial tmRNA, also known as 10Sa RNA or SsrA, is named for its dual tRNA and mRNA-like properties. Its role is to liberate the mRNA from a stalled ribosome. The record is from RNAcentral. Lineage: Bacteria; Pseudomonadati; Thermodesulfobacteriota; Desulfobulbia; Desulfobulbales; Desulfocapsaceae.
GGGGGCGAAACGGCUUCGACGGGGAUGUGCAAGCUUUACGUGGCAUGCCGAGCUUCUGUCUGCUCGUAAAACCGAUGGAACUAAAUAUAAUCGCAGACGAUUAUAACUACGCACUGGCAGCUUAGUCUGCU